CCUACGGGGGGCUGCAGUGAGGAAUAUUGGUCAAUGGCCGAGAGUCUGAACCAGCCAAGUCGCGUGAAGGACGACUGCCCUAUGGGUUGUAAACCUCUUUUAUAUGGGAAUAAAAUGUUCCACGUGUGGGAUGUUGUAUGUACCAUAUGAAUAAGGAUCGGCUAACUCCGUGCCAGCAGCCGCGGUAAUACGGAGGAUCCGAGCGUUAUCCGGAUUUAUUGGGUUUAAAGGGUGCGUAGGUGGGUUGUUAAGUCAGUUGUGAAAGUUUGCGGCUCAACCGUAAAAUUGCAGUUAAAACUGGCAGUCUUGAGUUCAGUAGAGGUAGGCGGAAUUCGUGGUGUAGCGGUGAAAUGCUUAGAUAUCACGUAGAACUCCGAUAGCGAAGGCAGCUCACUGGACUGCAACUGACACUGAGGCUCGAGAGUGUGGGUAUCAAACAGGAUUAGAUACCCCAGUAGUC
Molecule: ribosomal RNA, 460 nt
Filed under: uncultured bacterium
Lineage: Bacteria
Description: partial 16S ribosomal RNA
Rfam family: Bacterial small subunit ribosomal RNA
Source: RNAcentral